AACGAACGCUGGCGGCAGGCUUAACACAUGCAAGUCGAGCGAGACCUUCGGGUCUAGCGGCGGACGGGUGAGUAACGCGUGGGAACGUGCCCUUCUCUACGGAAUAGCCCCGGGAAACUGGGAGUAAUACCGUAUACGCCCUUUGGGGGAAAUAUUUAUCGGAGAAGGAUCGGCCCGCGUUGGAUUAGGUAGUUGGUGGGGUAAUGGCCCACCAAGCCGACGAUCGAUAGCUGGUUUGAGAGGAUGAUCAGCCACACUGGGACUGAGACACGGCCCAGACUCCUACGGGAGGCAGCAGUGGGGAAUCUUAGACAAUGGGGGCAACCCUGAUCUAGCCAGGCCGCGUGAGUGAUGAAGGCCUGAGGGUUGUAAAGCUCUUUCAGCUGGGAAGAUAAUGACGGUACCAGCAGAAGAAGCCCCGGCUAACUCCGUG
This 433-nucleotide ribosomal RNA is filed under the name uncultured bacterium. RNAcentral describes it as "partial 16S ribosomal RNA". It matches the Rfam family "Bacterial small subunit ribosomal RNA", at positions 29 to 507 of the family's 1533-position model. The record is from RNAcentral.